This 252-nucleotide ribosomal RNA is filed under the name uncultured prokaryote. RNAcentral's name for it is "partial 16S ribosomal RNA". It matches the Rfam family "Bacterial small subunit ribosomal RNA", at positions 523 to 774 of the family's 1533-position model. The record is from RNAcentral.
AUACAGAGGGGGCAAGCGUUGUUCGGAAUUACUGGGCGUAAAGGGCGCGUAGGCGGCCGCCUAAGUCAGACGUGAAAUCCCUCGGCUCAACCGGGGAACUGCGUCUGAUACUGGGUGGCUUGAAUCCGGGAGAGGGAUGCGGAAUUCCAGGUGUAGCGGUGAAAUGCGUAGAUAUCUGGAGGAACACCGGUGGCGAAGGCGGCAUCCUGGACCGGCAUUGACGCUGAGGCGCGAAAGCCAGGGGAGCAAACG